Molecule: ribosomal RNA, 253 nt
Filed under: uncultured bacterium
Lineage: Bacteria
Description: partial 16S ribosomal RNA
Rfam family: Bacterial small subunit ribosomal RNA
Source: RNAcentral
AACGUAGGAGACAAACGUUAUCCGGAGUUACUGGGCGUAAAGGGCGUGUAGGUGGUAUCGUAAGUCUGGCGUGAAAUUUCUCGGCUUAACCGAGGCAGGUCGUCGGAUACUGCGAGGCUAGAGGACGGUAGAGGCGUGUGGAAUUCCGGGUGUAGUGGUGAAAUGCGUAGAGAUCCGGAGGAACACCAGUGGCGAAGGCGACACGCUGGGCCGAUACUGACGCUGAGGAGCGAAAGCGUGGGGAGCGAACAGG